RNAcentral lists this ribosomal RNA (273 nucleotides) under uncultured Prochlorococcus sp. Its description in RNAcentral is "partial 16S ribosomal RNA". It matches the Rfam family "Bacterial small subunit ribosomal RNA", at positions 1261 to 1533 of the family's 1533-position model. The record is from RNAcentral. Lineage: Bacteria; Bacillati; Cyanobacteriota; Cyanophyceae; Synechococcales; Prochlorococcaceae.
GGACUAGCAAUCCCAUAAACCGUGGCUCAGUUCAGAUCGUAGGCUGCAACUCGCCUACGUGAAGCAGGAAUCGCUAGUAAUCGCAGGUCAGCAUACUGCGGUGAAUACGUUCCCGGGCCUUGUACACACCGCCCGUCACACCAUGGAAGUUGGCCAUGCCCGAAGUCGUUACUCCAACCCUUGUGGAGGAGGACGCCGAAGGUGGGGCUAAUGACUGGGGUGAAGUCGUAACAAGGUAGCCGUACCGGAAGGUGCGGCUGGAUCACCUCCUAA